AUAUUGCGCAAUGGAGGAAACUCUGACGCAGCGACGCCGUGUGAGUGAUGAAGGUCUUAGGAUCGUAAAGCUCUGUCCUUGGGGAAGAAGGGCUUCGGAAUUGACGGUAUCCAUGGAGGAAUACACGGCUAACUACGUUACAGCAGCCACGGUAAUAUGUAGGGGGCAAGCGUUGUCCGGAAUUAUUGGGCGUAAAGGGUGCGUAGGCGGCCUUUUAAGUCAGAUGUGAAAGCCCACGGCUCAACCGUGGGAUUGCAUUUGAAACUGGAGGGCUUGAGUAUCGGAGAGGGUAGUGGAAUUCCCAGUGUAGCGGUGAAAUGCGUAGAUAUUGGGAGGAACACCAGUGGCGAAGGCGACUACCUGGACGAUUACUGACGCUGAUGCACGAAAGCUAGGGGAGCAAACA
This 406-nucleotide ribosomal RNA is filed under the name uncultured bacterium. RNAcentral describes it as "partial 16S ribosomal RNA". It matches the Rfam family "Bacterial small subunit ribosomal RNA", at positions 361 to 774 of the family's 1533-position model. The record is from RNAcentral.